RNAcentral lists this ribosomal RNA (1386 nucleotides) under uncultured marine bacterium. RNAcentral's name for it is "bacterial SSU rRNA". It matches the Rfam family "Bacterial small subunit ribosomal RNA". The record is from RNAcentral.
GAGUUUGAUCCUGGCUCAGGAUGAACGCUAGCGGCAGGCUUAACACAUGCAAGUCGAGGGGUAACGGGGAAGCUUGCUUCCGCCGACGACCGGCGCACGGGUGCGUAACGCGUAUACAAUCUACCUUGUACUGGGGUAUAGCCUUUAGAAAUGAAGAUUAAUCCCCCAUAGUCUCUUAGAGUGGCAUCACUUCUAGAGUAAAGGUUACGGUAUAAGAUGAGUAUGCGUUCUAUUAGUUUGUUGGUGUGGUAACGGCACACCAAGACUACGAUAGAUAGGGGCCCUGAGAGGGGGAUCCCCCACACUGGUACUGAGACACGGACCAGACUCCUACGGGAGGCAGCAGUGAGGAAUAUUGGACAAUGGAGGCAACUCUGAUCCAGCCAUGCCGCGUGCAGGAAGACUGCCCUAUGGGUUGUAAACUGCUUUUAUACAGGAAGAAACACCUCUACGUGUAGAGGCUUGACGGUACUGUAAGAAUAAGGAUCGGCUAACUCCGUGCCAGCAGCCGCGGUAAUACGGAGGAUCCAAGCGUUAUCCGGAAUCAUUGGGUUUAAAGGGUCCGUAGGUGGAUAACUAAGUCAGAGGUGAAAUCUUGCAGCUCAACUGUAAAAUUGCCUUUGAAACUGGUUAUCUUGAGUUAUUAUGAAGUAGUUAGAAUAUGUAGUGUAGCGGUGAAAUGCAUAGAUAUUACAUAGAAUACCAAUUGCGAAGGCAGAUUACUAAUAAUUAACUGACACUGAUGGACGAAAGCGUGGGUAGCGAACAGGAUUAGAUACCCUGGUAGUCCACGCCGUAAACGAUGGUUACUAGCUGUUUGGACUUCGGUCUGAGUGGCUAAGCGAAAGUGAUAAGUAACCCACCUGGGGAGUACGUUCGCAAGAAUGAAACUCAAAGGAAUUGACGGGGGCCCGCACAAGCGGUGGAGCAUGUGGUUUAAUUCGAUGAUACGCGAGGAACCUUACCAGGGCUUAAAUGUAAGUUGCAUUAGCUAGAGAUAGCUAUUUCUUCGGACCACUUACAAGGUGCUGCAUGGUUGUCGUCAGCUCGUGCCGUGAGGUGUCAGGUUAAGUCCUAUAACGAGCGCAACCCCUGUUGUUAGUUGCCAGCGAGUCAUGUCGGGAACUCUAACAAGACUGCCAGUGCAAACUGUGAGGAAGGUGGGGAUGACGUCAAAUCAUCACGGCCCUUACGUCCUGGGCUACACACGUGCUACAAUGGUAGGUACAGAGAGCAGCCACUGCGCGAGCAGGAGCGAAUCUAUAAAACCUAUCACAGUUCGGAUCGGAGUCUGCAACUCGACUGCGUGAAGCUGGAAUCGCUAGUAAUCGGAUAUCAGCCAUGAUCCGGUGAAUACGUUCCCGGGCCUUGUACUCACCGCCCGUC